RNAcentral lists this ribosomal RNA (120 nucleotides) under Bison bison bison. The record is from RNAcentral. Lineage: Eukaryota; Metazoa; Chordata; Mammalia; Artiodactyla; Bovidae.
GUCUCAGGCCGUAUCAGCCUGAAGGCGCCUGAUCUCGUCUGAUCUCGGACGCUAAGCAGGGUCGGGCCUGGUUAGGAUCUUGGAUGGGAGACCACCUGGGAAUCCCGGGUGCUCGAGGCU